AGUCGAACGAUGAUCCCAGCUUGCUGGGGGAUUAGUGGCGAACGGGUGAGUAACACGUGAGUAACCUGCCCUUGACUCUGGGAUAAGCCUGGGAAACUGGGUCUAAUACCGGAUACGACCAUCUGGCGCAUGUCAUGGUGGUGGAAAGCUUUUGUGGUUUUGGAUGGACUCGCGGCCUAUCAGCUUGUUGGUGGGGUAAUGGCCUACCAAGGCGACGACGGGUAGCCGGCCUGAGAGGGUGACCGGCCACACUGGGACUGAGACACGGCCCAGACUCCUACGGGAGGCAGCAGUGGGGAAUAUUGCACAAUGGGCGCAAGCCUGAUGCAGCGACGCCGCGUGAGGGAUGACGGCCUUCGGGUUGUAAACCUCUUUCAGUAGGGAAGAAGCGUAAGUGACGGUACCUGCAGAAGAAGCGCCGGCUAACUACGUGCCAGCAGCCGCGGUAAUACGUAGGGCGCAAGCGUUAUCCGGAAUUAUUGGGCGUAAAGAGCUCGUAGGCGGUUUGUCGCGUCUGCUGUGAAAGACCGGGGCUCAACUCCGGUUCUGCAGUGGGUACGGGCAGACUAGAGUGCAGUAGGGGAGACUGGAAUUCCUGGUGUAGCGGUGAAAUGCGCAGAUAUCAGGAGGAACACCGAUGGCGAAGGCAGGUCUCUGGGCUGUAACUGACGCUGAGGAGCGAAAGCAUGGGGAGCGAACAGGAUUAGAUACCCUGGUAGAAGGGC
RNAcentral lists this ribosomal RNA (725 nucleotides) under uncultured Arthrobacter sp. RNAcentral's name for it is "bacterial SSU rRNA". It matches the Rfam family "Bacterial small subunit ribosomal RNA", at positions 60 to 795 of the family's 1533-position model. Lineage: Bacteria; Bacillati; Actinomycetota; Actinomycetes; Micrococcales; Micrococcaceae. The record is from RNAcentral.